UGGGUGAAGAUGUGAGUAUUACUUGUGCCGAUGGGUAUGUAUGUUCGUCUGUUGCAAGGGAUGAUUGUAAGAGGAAUUCACGUAGCUUCCAGGCACUUCUAGAUGCGUGUGAUGGUUUGGAUGUUGAUGUUGAAGGCACAGAAGUUGUCUGUCGUGACAAGUCCAGCGAACCAAGUUCUGGACCGAAGAUUACGUCAAUGGUCAGACGUGUGAAAGAAGAGCCAAGGCGCGAGUACAGGCUGUGUGAUUACGAGUACCCCAACGUAUUUGGGAGGGUCAAACUGAGUGACAAAGUGAGGAUUUGUAAAUCAACGAAGCCAGGGGAGAUAUACACUGUCGAGGAUAUUGAUGUGGGACGUAAAACAUGGAAUGGUUUUGGAAUGACUCAGAGACACAUUGUGUGGGGCAUGUUGAAAGAUGAAGACCGGAAGGUACUGGAGCAAAUGUACAGCUUAGAAUGAGAUGGGUUAAUAGUAUGGGAUGGUGGUGAGAAUGGGAUACAAGUUCACUUCACUGACAUCAAAGAUUUGGUACAGGAGAACUCGAUUCAUGGCAAUGUAAUAGAUGCAUACGCAGCUAUGUUGACAGACAUGCACAGGACGGUGUCAGGUAGAAGAGAAUAUAAAGGAACGACAUAUGUGUACAGCAGCGUGUGCGCGGACAUGAUGCGUAACACAAGCGCUUUGUCACGAACAAAGUACUUAA
This is a non-coding RNA of Camellia sinensis, 705 nucleotides long. The record is from RefSeq and is a predicted model, not a curated record. NCBI's taxonomy places the organism in Eukaryota, Viridiplantae, Streptophyta, Magnoliopsida, Ericales, Theaceae.